This 498-nucleotide ribosomal RNA is filed under the name uncultured bacterium. RNAcentral describes it as "partial 16S ribosomal RNA". It matches the Rfam family "Bacterial small subunit ribosomal RNA", at positions 30 to 523 of the family's 1533-position model. The record is from RNAcentral.
AUUGAACGCUGGCGGCAUGCCUUACACAUGCAAGUCGAACGGUAACAGGUCUUCGGAUGCUGACGAGUGGCGAACGGGUGAGUAAUACAUCGGAACGUGCCUAGUAGUGGGGGAUAACUACUCGAAAGAGUGGCUAAUACCGCAUGAGAUCUACGGAUGAAAGCAGGGGAUCGCAAGACCUUGUGCUUCUAGCGCGGCCGAUGGCAGAUUAGGUAGUUGGUGGGAUAAAAGCUUACCAAGCCGACGACCUGUAGCUGGUCUGAGAGGACGAUCAGCCACACUGGGACUGAGACACGGCCCAGACUCCUACGGGAGGCAGCAGUGGGGAAUUUUGGACAAUGGGCGAAAGCCUGAUCCAGCAAUGCCGCGUGCAGGAUGAAGGCCUUCGGGUUGUAAACUGCUUUUGUACGGAACGAAAAGCCCCGGGUUAAUACCCUGGGGUCAUGACGGUACCGUAAGAAUAAGCACCGGCUAACUACGUGCCAGCCGCCGCCGUAA